RNAcentral lists this ribosomal RNA (806 nucleotides) under uncultured Thiobacillus sp. Its description in RNAcentral is "bacterial SSU rRNA". It matches the Rfam family "Bacterial small subunit ribosomal RNA", at positions 28 to 827 of the family's 1533-position model. The record is from RNAcentral. Lineage: Bacteria; Pseudomonadati; Pseudomonadota; Betaproteobacteria; Nitrosomonadales; Thiobacillaceae.
AUUGAACGCUGGCGGAAUGCUUUACACAUGCAAGUCGAACGGCAGCACGGGAGCUUGCUCCUGGUGGCGAGUGGCGAACGGGUGAGUAAUGCGUCGGAACGUACCGAGUAAUGGGGGAUAACGCAGCGAAAGCUGUGCUAAUACCGCAUACGCCCUGAGGGGGAAAGUGGGGGAUCGCAUGACCUCACGUUAUUCGAGCGGCCGACGUCUGAUUAGCUAGUUGGUGGGGUAAUGGCCUACCAAGGCGACGAUCAGUAGCGGCUCUGAGAGGAUGAUCCGCCACACUGGAACUGAGACACGGUCCAGACUCCUACGGGAGGCAGCAGUGGGGAAUUUUGGACAAUGGGGGCAACCCUGAUCCAGCCAUUCCGCGUGAGUGAAGAAGGCCUUCGGGUUGUAAAGCUCUUUCAGCUGGAACGAAACGGUACGCUCUAACAUAGCGUGUUAAUGACGGUACCGGCAGAAGAAGCACCGGCUAACUACGUGCCAGCAGCCGCGGUAAUACGUAGGGUGCGAGCGUUAAUCGGAAUUACUGGGCGUAAAGCGUGCGCAGGCGGAUUGUUAAGCAAGAUGUGAAAUCCCCGGGCUUAACCUGGGAAUGGCAUUUUGAACUGGCAGUCUAGAGUGCGUCAGAGGGGGGUGGAAUUCCACGUGUAGCAGUGAAAUGCGUAGAGAUGUGGAGGAACACCAAUGGCGAAGGCAGCCCCCUGGGAUGACACUGACGCUCAUGUACGAAAGCGUGGGUAGCAAACAGGAUUAGAUACCCUGGUAGUCCACGCCCUAAACGAUGUCAACUGGUUGUUGGG